UACGUAGGGUGCAAGCGUUGUCCGGAAUUAUUGGGCGUAAAGAGCUCGUAGGCGGUUUGUCGCGUCUGCUGUGAAAACCCAGGGCUUAACCCUGGGCCUGCAGUGGGUACGGGCAAACUAGAGUGCGGUAGGGGAGAUCGGAAUUCCUGGUGUAGCGGUGAAAUGCGCAGAUAUCAGGAGGAACACCGGUGGCGAAGGCGGAUCUCUGGGCCGUAACUGACGCUGAGGUGCGAAAGCGUGGGGAGCAAACAGG
RNAcentral lists this ribosomal RNA (253 nucleotides) under uncultured bacterium. RNAcentral describes it as "partial 16S ribosomal RNA". It matches the Rfam family "Bacterial small subunit ribosomal RNA", at positions 524 to 776 of the family's 1533-position model. The record is from RNAcentral.